CUUUAAGUUUUUGCCCCGAGGACUUUCAAAUCCAGCUUUUACGCAUUACUACCUUUCACAGGGCCACAAGCCUUCCUUGACAGGAACACGUAAACAUAGAUUGUUUAGAGUGUUCAGGCAAACAGCACGCUGUCAUUUGUUUGAUAAACAAAGUGCAGACUGGAGUCUGAGUGUGAAUGAAGCAGCUGGUCCCAGUAAGACAGGAAAGGAGAACACCCUGCAUCCAUUUCUGAGGCAUCAGUUUCAUCAGUACGACUUUAUACGUGUGUGUUUCUGCAGGUUUGAGAGUGUGUGACAGACGGGAGUCCCGGAUAUCCUCAUAAAGACGGAGUGUCUGGCACCUCUUCACAACAUUCUCCAUCGUUCCUCUCAGGACUCACAAAUGUGUCGCUAUGAUCU
This is a long non-coding RNA of Epinephelus moara (kelp grouper), 399 nucleotides long. RefSeq lists it as uncharacterized. The record is from RefSeq and is a predicted model, not a curated record. Lineage: Eukaryota; Metazoa; Chordata; Actinopteri; Perciformes; Serranidae. The transcript is spliced from 3 exons.